RNAcentral lists this transfer RNA (75 nucleotides) under Planctomycetota bacterium. RNAcentral's name for it is "Planctomycetes bacterium tRNA-Pro". It matches the Rfam family "tRNA". From Rfam's summary of the family: Transfer RNA (tRNA) molecules are approximately 80 nucleotides in length. Their secondary structure includes four short double-helical elements and three loops (D, anti-codon, and T loops). Further hydrogen bonds mediate the characteristic L-shaped molecular structure. tRNAs have two regions of fundamental functional importance: the anti-codon, which is responsible for specific mRNA codon recognition, and the 3' end, to which the tRNAs corresponding amino acid is attached (by aminoacyl-tRNA synthetases). tRNAs cope with the degeneracy of the genetic code in two manners: having more than one tRNA (with a specific anti-codon) for a particular amino acid; and 'wobble' base-pairing, i.e. permitting non-standard base-pairing at the 3rd anti-codon position. The record is from RNAcentral. Lineage: Bacteria; Pseudomonadati; Planctomycetota.
CGGGGCGUAGCUCAGUCUGGCUAGAGCACCGGCUUUGGGAGCCGGGGGUCGCACGUUCAAAUCGUGUCGCCCCGA